GGAUUAGAUACCCUGGUAGUCCACGCCGUAAACGAUGUCUACUUGGAGGUUGUGGCCUUGAGCCGUGGCUUUCGGAGCUAACGCGUUAAGUAGACCGCCUGGGGAGUACGGUCGCAAGAUUAAAACUCAAAGGAAUUGACGGGGGCCCGCACAAGCGGUGGAGCAUGUUGUUUAAUUCGAAGCAACGCGAAGAACCUUACCUAGCCUUGACAUACCUGUCAUACCAUUCCGAAAAGAAUGGGUCAUUUAGUUGGACAGUGUACAGGUGUUGCAUGGCUGUCGUCAGCUCGUGCUG
Molecule: ribosomal RNA, 295 nt
Filed under: uncultured bacterium
Lineage: Bacteria
Description: partial 16S ribosomal RNA
Rfam family: Bacterial small subunit ribosomal RNA
Source: RNAcentral